This 367-nucleotide ribosomal RNA is filed under the name Proteus mirabilis. RNAcentral's name for it is "partial 23S ribosomal RNA". It matches the Rfam family "Bacterial large subunit ribosomal RNA", at positions 890 to 1254 of the family's 2925-position model. Lineage: Bacteria; Pseudomonadati; Pseudomonadota; Gammaproteobacteria; Enterobacterales; Morganellaceae. The record is from RNAcentral.
UCAUCUUCGGGGGUAGAGCACUGUUUCGACUAGGGGGUCAUCCCGACUUACCAACUCGAUGCAAACUGCGAAUACCGAAGAAUGUUAUCACGGGAGACACACGGCGGGUGCUAACGUCCGUCGUGAAGAGGGAAACAACCCAGACCGCCAGCUAAGGUCCCAAAGUCAUGGUUAAGUGGGAAACGAAGUGGGAAGGCUCAGACAGCCAGGAUGUUGGCUUAGAAGCAGCCAUCAUUUAAAGAAAGCGUAAUAGCUCACUGGUCGAGUCGGCCCGCGCGGAAGAUGUAACGGGGCUAAACCAUGCACCGAAGCUGCGGCAGCGACACAUAGUGUUGUUGGGUAGGGGAGCGUUCUGUAAGCCUGCGAA